RNAcentral lists this microRNA precursor (77 nucleotides) under Otolemur garnettii (small-eared galago). RNAcentral describes it as "miRNA (ENSOGAG00000022474.1)". The record is from RNAcentral. Lineage: Eukaryota; Metazoa; Chordata; Mammalia; Primates; Galagidae.
UAGGGUAACCAAUCAUCUUGGUUUGCCUGGGACUAAGGUAAGGUUUGCUGAGAUGCAGGACCUUCAGCACUGAAAUA